GAAAAAGGAAAAGAAGAAGGGAAAAAGAAAAGAAAAGGAGGGAUAUUUGCACAAAUUGGAGCUCAAGUGUGGGGAUUUAUUCAUUUCAAAUUUUCAGCAAGGAGGUAACGAGGCGAUUGGAAACGUCUAUCAGCCUAUCUAGCUUGUAGUUCAUACCUCGAGAAGGUCGAUUUUGAGAUAUUUGGGAAAGCCUGCUGAAGCAAAAGAGACCGUUUCAUAAGUAUGUAAUGAAUAGUUGGGAAACUUAUGUUUAUUAAGUAAUUGUCUAAUUUUGGGUGACAAGCAUAUUUGUAGAAGAGUUUGUAAGUGAUGUAAUACUUGCAUGUUGACAGGAUGAUGUUGUAGAAACACUCAGUUGAAUUUUGUUAUAUUUUGAAAUAGUUGUGGU
Olea europaea var. sylvestris is the source of this 388-nucleotide long non-coding RNA. RefSeq lists it as uncharacterized. The record is from RefSeq and is a predicted model, not a curated record. NCBI's taxonomy places the organism in Eukaryota, Viridiplantae, Streptophyta, Magnoliopsida, Lamiales, Oleaceae. The transcript has 4 exons.